CAGCCGUGUACUCUCCGCAUCUUCUGUCUCCAACAUUUAAUCAUCCAUCUUAUUUAAAAAAAUAUUAGUAUUUUUAUUGUUAUAAGAUGAUAAAACAUGAAUAGUACUUUAUACAUGACUUAUUUUUUAAUUUUUUUCAUAAACUUUUUAAAUAAGAUGAAUGGUCAAACGUUGAACAUGAAAAUCCACGACUGUAUAUGGG
Oryza punctata is the source of this 202-nucleotide non-coding RNA. The record is from Rfam. NCBI's taxonomy places the organism in Eukaryota, Viridiplantae, Streptophyta, Magnoliopsida, Poales, Poaceae.